GAAAUGCGAUAAGUAAUGUGAAUUGCAGAAUUCAGUGAAUCAUCGAAUCUUUGAACGCACAUUGCGCCCUUUGGUAUUCCAAAGGGCAUGCCUGUUCGAGCGUCAUUUGUACCCUCAAGCUUUGCUUGGUGUUGGGCGUCUUGUCUCUAGCUUUGCUGGAGACUCGCCUCAAAACAAUUGGCAGCCGGCAUAUUGGUAUCGGAGCGCAGCACAAGUCGCACUUUGUUCCAUGAAUGUUGGCAUCCAUCAAGACCAUUUUUUCACUCUUGACCUCGGAUCAGGUAGGGAUACCCGCUGAACUUAAGCAUAUCAAUAAGCGGAGGAACAACACGCACGACCGCAUCGAUGAAGAAC
This 354-nucleotide unclassified non-coding RNA is filed under the name uncultured Pleosporales. RNAcentral's name for it is "sequence contains ITS1". The stretch from base 1 to 105 matches the Rfam family "5.8S ribosomal RNA", at positions 50 to 154 of the family's 154-position model. The record is from RNAcentral. Lineage: Eukaryota; Fungi; Ascomycota; Dothideomycetes; Pleosporales.